This 1561-nucleotide long non-coding RNA is filed under the name Anas platyrhynchos platyrhynchos (common mallard). RNAcentral's name for it is "lncRNA (ENSAPLG00000026728.1)". The record is from RNAcentral. Lineage: Eukaryota; Metazoa; Chordata; Aves; Anseriformes; Anatidae.
GUAGUUUUAAAGGGACCCUGACAGGUGUUGUGGAUCCAUAUUUUGAUUUGCCUUUUGCAGUUAUAAUCUGUUAGACAGUUAGGUUUUAGGGAGUCUUUUUUAGAAACAAUGAAUUUUCCAGGUAUUAUAAAAAAGCACAUCCUCCUCAUCAGAUUAAGGCCUGGUGUGUUUGGGAUUUUAUAUCCUUAGCCUGCAGAAGGAUACUUAAAAAAAAAAAAUAAUCUAAUAGAGUUUUCAGACUUGUUUUAACAAUUAGCUUAAAAUAGCUUAAGAUACAUGUGAUGAUAUGCUGUGGAUGACUCGCUAAUGCAAGUGCUGCCUAUUAUGCAUGAGGAGCCUACAAGUAUAAAUGACUUACAAAUGAGACCAUUUCUGGAAAUUGAGACAAGUUCUUCUGACUGGAGAGAUGAUACUCCCAUCUGCAAAUAUUUUGUGUUUCUACUUUUUGAUAGCAAGAGUGAUACAAUUUCAUCUGAAGAAGUGAGUGGCAUAAAAUCUUGCAGUAUGAGAGUUGAGCAGUGCCACCUCUACCAGUUCCACCUUGGACAGCUGUCACAGUGAAAAACCAUUGGUCAUCCCUGCCUGAAGAAGGGCUUUGACACUUGUAUUCAGAAAUGGCAGUCAGCCAGAAAGCUCAGUCUCAUAUAUAUGCAGAAACCUGGAGGAAGGGCAGGAUUCAGUGCUCUUAAAUAUUUCUUACUGAUUGACUUAGGCCUCUGCUUUGCUCUUUGCAAUGGCUGUCACAGUCCUUUUCCCAGCUUUUAUCCCACCCCCACCUUCAUGGCAUGUUUUGUACAAGCACCUCUGUAGAGUGUGAAUUCCAGUACUAAGGCUAGGAGCCUAAAUCCAGCAGUGGCAAUACCCAAGGUCUUGAGUCACGUUGUGGCCCCAAAUCUUUCUGAAGCUAAUUUGAACACUGUUUGGCUGCUGUCUCAGUGACAACAGAUUUCAAGAACAGAAAUGUUGACGGCCCUACCUUAUCUUCGCUCUUUUAAAGUACACAUUUCUGUAUUUAUAUCAUUUAAAGGAUAUCAUACUUAAAUGGUCAAAUAUGAAUCAUACAUUAUUAUUUAUUAAUUAUUCAAUUAAUUAGUUUAUAGAAAUUCUGCCUUUAUGAGACUCUUAACUAUUAGAAUCAGAUUAGAGAUAAAUGUACAUGUGAGUAGAUUUCCUCCCCUCACUAAGGUCAUAGAGCUUGUUCUAGAAACAAUCAGGGCAGUGUUCAAAAUCACAAAGUUUUAUUGAAGACACGGGUAGGUCAUUGUUUCAUCACUGUUAAGUAUAAUAUCAGAGGUCUUUUAAAUCAGAGAAAAUAAUGAAAACAUAAGCCUGAGAAAGGGCCAAUUGCCUUUCUGUUGCCAGCCAACAAUUGCCAACCUCCAGUAUAGGAAGCUGCAGAUGUUUCUUAUAGAGAAAUGAUUUAAGACUUGCAUCUUGUUAAGAAUAAGACUGAAAACAAUGUUAAGAAUAACAGUUCUGUUACCACUGGACAACAGAUUUUCUUGUGCUUGUGUGAUGGUAUGUAAAAGCACUUCCAGGAACUGAAAACAGGUAUUUUUAC